CUUCAAUUAAAGGAGAUAAAAAUAACAAAAAAGUAGAUACUCUAAAUUUCAUUGACAAAAGUCCACCUGAUAAAGUACUAAAUAAAUUUAAUAAGUUAACUUUAGGAGUAAAAAAAUGCUCUUGCAAUAUAGCUGCUCGAUCUGAAUUAGGCAGCUACCCUAUUGAUUGCUUUAUAAAAAGACAAACUCUUCUUUUUCAUGAUAGACUAUUAAGGGAAGAAACUAGUCCCUUACUAAAAGAGACAC
This 246-nucleotide long non-coding RNA is filed under the name Mytilus galloprovincialis (Mediterranean mussel). Lineage: Eukaryota; Metazoa; Mollusca; Bivalvia; Mytilida; Mytilidae. The record is from RNAcentral.